AGUCAUAUGCUUGUCUCAAGAUUAAGCCAUGUAUGUCUAAGUACAAGCCGUGUUUACACGGCGAGAACGCGGACGGCUCAUUAAAUCAGUCGUGGUCCAUAUGGGCUAGAGUUAAUCCUACUUGGAUAACUGUGGUAAUUCCAGAGCUAAUACAUGCAACUCUUAUCCUGACGUAGCGCGGCUUAUCUCACGGUUUGUCGUAGCGCUGACGGAUGCUUUUAUUAGACCAAACCGCUGGGUGCGUGUUCGUGUUUAUUCGCGGAUGCGUACGGCUCGUUUAAUGGUGACUCUGGAUAACCAUUAGAGGAAGUACAAGUCGUAACAAGGUUUCCGUAGGUGGUCAUAGCUGUGUUUCCUGAUUAUCAGCUAUCAACCGUUCGUUAUGUGCGCACGAUGGCUUUGACGGGUAACGGGGAAUCAGAGUUCGAUUCCGGAGAGGCAGCCUGAGAGACGGCUACCACGUCCAAGGACGGCAGCAGGCACGCAAAUUACCCAAUCCCAGCAUCUGGGGGAGGUAGUGACGAAAUCUAACGAUGCGGGCGCCCUUUCUGGGGCCCCGCAAUCGGAAUGGCCACUUUCUAAACAACCUGUUGAGAACCUACUGAAGGGCAAGUCUGGUGCCAGCAGCCGCGGUAAUUCCAGCUUCAGUAGCAUCUAUUAAAGUUGCUGCGGUUAAAAGGCUCGCAGUUGAAUGUCAGUAUCGAGCGCAGGUCAGGUGGACGCUGGGGCGUGAACAUCCAAGGCGCUUCGCUUGUGUCGAUUGCAGAUGUGCGCACGUGCGCGUGUGUGUUCGUACGAAAGUUCGUUCAUAUUGCGUGUGCGGGUGUGUGUUUCUUUCGGCUUUGAGUUGUGUCGUUCACAUGCCCCCGUCCGUAACAAGCCUCCUCGCUUGUGUACAUAACGGAAUCUGUAUUACGGAGUGUGCGUUGCGAGGAGUUGUAGCACUGCGUUCUCUGCCUUACUUUCUCUCGUGUGUGUAUCUCGCUUUUGUGGGUGCGCGUGCGGGUGAGGGUCUGUGUGGCGGGCGUACGUUGUCUCUCUCUUUUGCGCGUACGUUAAGCUCCAUCGGUUCUAUGGUCACCCUGAGUAAAUCAGAGUGCUCAGAGCAGUCGUAGGGGCCUUGUGCCCUUUGAACAGUCUAGCGGACUGACUUGGUUUUGCAUGGUAUGUCGAAAGACGACGUCUAGCGCUGGCUCAGAGUGUUUGUUAAUCAGUGGUACAAGCCAGCCUAGACGUAAUGAUUAAAAGGGACAGUCGAGGGCACUGGUAUUGCGAGGCGAGAGGUGAAAUUCUAUGACCCCCGCAAGACCUCCUGAAGCGAAAGCGUCUGCCAAGGAUGUUUUCAUUAAUCAUGAACGAAAGUUAGAGGAUCGAAGGCGAUCAGAUACCGCCCUAGUUCUAACCCUAAACGAUGCCAACCACCAAUCCGCGUGUAGCACCUUUCUUAACGGGCUCGGCGGGCAGCUCCUUACUUACGGGAAACCAGAGUCUCUGGGUUCCGGGGGGAGUCUGGUUGCAAAGCUGAAACUUAAAGGAAUUGACGGAAAGGCACCACCAGGCGUGGAGCCUGCGGCUUAAUUUGACUCAACACGGGCCAUCUCACCAGGCCAGCACUCUUGUACGAUUGACAGAUUGAGAGCUCUUUCUCGAUUUAGUGGAUGGUGGUGCAUGGCCGUUCUUAGUUGGUGGAGUGAUCUGUCUGGUUA
This 1706-nucleotide ribosomal RNA is filed under the name Hirondellea brevicaudata. Its description in RNAcentral is "bacterial SSU rRNA". It matches the Rfam family "Eukaryotic small subunit ribosomal RNA", at positions 21 to 1321 of the family's 1831-position model. The record is from RNAcentral. Lineage: Eukaryota; Metazoa; Arthropoda; Malacostraca; Amphipoda; Lysianassidae.